CCUACGGGUGGCAGCAGUGAGGAAUAUUGGUCAAUGGGCGCGAGCCUGAACCAGCCAAGCCGCGUGAAGGAUGACUGCCCUACGGUUUGUAAACUUCUUUUAUAUGGGAGUAAAAUGUUCCAAGUGUGGGAUUUUGUAUGUACCAUAUCAAUAUGGAUCGGCUCACUACGGGCCAGCAGCCGCCGUAAUACGGAGGAUGCGAGCGUUAUCCGGAUUUAUUGGGUUUAAAGGGAGCGUAGAUGGGUUGUUAAGUCAGUUGUGAAAGUCUGGGGCUCAACCGUAAAAUUGCAUUUGAUACUGGGAGUCUUGAGUACAGGUGAGGUAGGCGGAAUUCGUGGUGUAGCGGUGAAAUGCUUAGAUAUCACGAAGAACUCCGAUUGCGAAGGCAGCUUACUAGACUGCAACUGACAUUGAGGCUCGAAAGUGUGGGUAUCAAACAGGAUUAGAUACCCCAGUAGUC
RNAcentral lists this ribosomal RNA (460 nucleotides) under uncultured bacterium. RNAcentral describes it as "partial 16S ribosomal RNA". It matches the Rfam family "Bacterial small subunit ribosomal RNA", at positions 338 to 795 of the family's 1533-position model. The record is from RNAcentral.